RNAcentral lists this ribosomal RNA (253 nucleotides) under uncultured bacterium. RNAcentral's name for it is "partial 16S ribosomal RNA". It matches the Rfam family "Bacterial small subunit ribosomal RNA", at positions 524 to 776 of the family's 1533-position model. The record is from RNAcentral.
UACGGAGGGCGCGAGCGUUAAUCGGAAUUACUGGGCGUAAAGCGCGCGUAGGCUGUUGUGUAAGUUGGGGGUGAAAUCCCACGGCUCAACCGUGGAACAGCCCUUGAUACUGCGCGACUUGAAUCCGGGAGAGGGUGGCGGAAUUCCAGGUGUAGGAGUGAAAUCCGUAGAUAUCUGGAGGAACAUCAGUGGCGAAGGCGGCCACCUGGACCGGUAUUGACGCUGAGGCGCGAAAGCGUGGGGAGCAAAUAGG